Molecule: ribosomal RNA, 631 nt
Filed under: Achromobacter sp. 110602_136_C_A10
Lineage: Bacteria; Pseudomonadati; Pseudomonadota; Betaproteobacteria; Burkholderiales; Alcaligenaceae
Description: bacterial SSU rRNA
Rfam family: Bacterial small subunit ribosomal RNA
Source: RNAcentral
CUCAGAUUGAACGCUAGCGGGAUGCCUUACACAUGCAAGUCGAACGGCAGCACGGACUUCGGUCUGGUGGCGAGUGGCGAACGGGUGAGUAAUGUAUCGGAACGUGCCUAGUAGCGGGGGAUAACUACGCGAAAGCGUAGCUAAUACCGCAUACGCCCUACGGGGGAAAGCAGGGGAUCGUAAGACCUUGCACUAUUAGAGCGGCCGAUAUCGGAUUAGCUAGUUGGUGGGGUAAUGGCUCACCAAGGCGACGAUCCGUAGCUGGUUUGAGAGGACGACCAGCCACACUGGGACUGAGACACGGCCCAGACUCCUACGGGAGGCAGCAGUGGGGAAUUUUGGACAAUGGGGGAAACCCUGAUCCAGCCAUCCCGCGUGUGCGAUGAAGGCCUUCGGGUUGUAAAGCACUUUUGGCAGGAAAGAAACGCCGCGGGUUAAUACCCUGCGGAACUGACGGUACCUGCAGAAUAAGCACCGGCUAACUACGUGCCAGCAGCCGCGGUAAUACGUAGGGUGCAAGCGUUAAUCGGAAUUACUGGGCGUAAAGCGUGCGCAGGCGGUUCGGAAAGAAAGAUGUGAAAUCCCAGAGCUUAACUUUGGAACUGCAUUUUUAACUACCGAGCUAGAGUGU